UACAGAGGUCCCAAGCGUUGUUCGGAUUCAUUGGGCGUAAAGGGUGUGUAGGUGGCGCGCUAAGUCGGGUGUGAAAUUUCGGAGCUUAACUCCGAAACUGCAUUCGAUACUGCGGUGCUUGAGGACUGGAGAGGAGACUGGAAUUUACGGUGUAGCAGUGAAAUGCGUAGAGAUCGUAAGGAAGACCAGUGGCGAAGGCGGGUCUCUGGACAGUUCCUGACACUGAGGCACGAAGGCCAGGGGAGCAAACGGG
Molecule: ribosomal RNA, 253 nt
Filed under: uncultured bacterium
Lineage: Bacteria
Description: partial 16S ribosomal RNA
Rfam family: Bacterial small subunit ribosomal RNA
Source: RNAcentral